This 254-nucleotide ribosomal RNA is filed under the name uncultured bacterium. Its description in RNAcentral is "partial 16S ribosomal RNA". It matches the Rfam family "Bacterial small subunit ribosomal RNA", at positions 524 to 776 of the family's 1533-position model. The record is from RNAcentral.
UACGGGGGGGGCAAGCGUUGUUCGGAAUUACUGGGCGUAAAGGGCUCGUAGGUGGCCAACUAAGUCAGACGUGAAAUCCCUCGGCUUAACCGGGGAACUGCGUCUGAUACUGGAUGGCUUGAGUUCGGGAGAGGGAAGCGGAAUUCCGGGUGUAGCGGUGAAAUGCGUAGAUAUCCGGAGGAACACCGGUGGCGAAGGCGGCUUCCUGGACCGAUUACUGACGCUGAGGCGCGAAAGCUAGGGGAGCAAACGGG